UGGGCAUGCCCAGUGAUACGGUUAGAACCUUGCACCAAGUUUCACUUCCUCCAGGUUUUACCAGCUGCAAAAGCAAGGAGGAGACAGAGGGAAGAGUUAAAACAGAAGGACAGCACCCGGCGUCACGUAACCCAGCCUUCUCUGGCUCCACCACCACCUCCUCCUUCCCAGCUCUUUCCCUCUCCUCCUCCUUCUGCUCCCCUCCGUUGCCUGUUCUCUCUUCCCGCACUCCUGGAGAUAGACGCUCAAGCCCGACGCCUCUGAAAAGGCAGCGGCAGUCGCCUUAUCCAGACCUCAGGAAAUUCGCUUUGACCGAUGUAUGCCUCAAGCUCUGGCUGGAGCUAAGGGGGAAUAACCGUGCAGGUAAAGAAGCUCAAUUUGGGUUGGGGGGAGGGGUCGGGGCGAGGCAAGCCGGAGAAGGAUAUCUUUCCCCGUUGUAACUGAGCCAGGAUCUGCCACAAACGCACAGGGAAGGAUGGGUGGUGGGAGGGUGGAGGAGUAUAGAUCUUGAUUGUUUUGCUUGCAGCUUUUUAAAUAGACGGUAAGAAGAUGAGAUGGAGGAACUGGGGUAGUAACUUAAAGACUGAAUGCAGUGAUUUGUUAGCAAAAAAAAAAAAAAAAAGAGAAAAAAAGAAAAGAAAAUGGGCAAGUUGGAAACCAAAGCAAUAAAAUACACCUAUAGCUACA
This 687-nucleotide long non-coding RNA is filed under the name Sus scrofa (pig). RNAcentral describes it as "lncRNA (ENSSSCG00070030398.1)". Lineage: Eukaryota; Metazoa; Chordata; Mammalia; Artiodactyla; Suidae. The record is from RNAcentral.